RNAcentral lists this ribosomal RNA (305 nucleotides) under uncultured bacterium. Its description in RNAcentral is "partial 16S ribosomal RNA". It matches the Rfam family "Bacterial small subunit ribosomal RNA", at positions 505 to 808 of the family's 1533-position model. The record is from RNAcentral.
ACAGCAGUCGCCACGGGAAUACGAAAGGUCCAAGCGUUACUCGGAAUUACUGGGCGUAAAGCGCGCGUAGGCGGUUUUGUAUGUCGAUUGUGAAAGCCCCGGGCUCAACCUGGGAACUGCAGUCGAAACUGCAAGACUUGAAUGUUGGAGAGGUUGGGGGAAUACCUAGUGGAGAAGUGAAAUUCGUAGAGAUUAGGUGGAACACCAGAGGCGAAGGCGCCUGACUGGCCAAACAUUGACGCUAAGGCGCGAAGCGUGGGUAGCAAACAGGAUUAGAUACCCCAGUAGUCCCUGUCUCUUAUACA